Long non-coding RNA from Rattus norvegicus (Norway rat), 34750 nucleotides. RefSeq lists it as uncharacterized. NCBI's taxonomy places the organism in Eukaryota, Metazoa, Chordata, Mammalia, Rodentia, Muridae. The record is from RefSeq and is a predicted model, not a curated record.
UAUGAACGGAAAAGUGGAUCUGACUGGGAGUUAAGGUACAACUCCAGGAAGAGACAGAGACCUGGGAUAAGGGAUGCACCCUAGAAUCAAUAAGGGUGACCUUAGCUUUGACUCAAAGCACUGCGGAUAUGGAACCUGGAAAGGCUCCCUCCUGUGGCCAGGCAUUAACUCUGGUGGAGCGAUGGGAGCACCAACACAACCACAAAACUUUCAACACAGAACAUCCUGUGUACAAGAAAUACACUGACUGGGGAUGGAGGACAGACUGAGGGCAUGGCCAAGCAGUAAGUGGACCAACUUGCGAUUCAUCCUGUGGGCAAGCACCAGUUCCUGACACUAUUAAGGAUACUCCAUUAUGGUUGCAGAGAGGAGCAAGCACAAACCCCCAACACUAUAAUGGAUGAGACAGGGCCCUAUCAUGACAGUCCUCAAGUGACUCCACCCAGAAGCUGACUCAGAUACUCACAGUCAAGCAGUGGGUGGAGCCUGGGGACUCUUAUAGAAUAGUAGGAGGUAGGAUUGCAGGUCCUAAGGGGAUAGGAACUCCAUAGGAAGCCCAACAGAGUUAACUAACCGGGACCCUUAGCUCUCUCAGAGACUCGACCACCAACCGAUGAACAUACAUGGGCUAGAAGUAGGCCUCCAUGCACACAUGUAGCAGAUGUGCAGCUUGCUGUCCAUGUGGAUCAUGAACGACUGGAAUAGGAGCUAUCCCAAAAGCUGUUGCUUGUCUGUGGAAUAUGUUCUUCUAGCUGGGCUGCCUUCUCUGGCCUCAGUGGGAGAGGUUGUAUCUAAACCCAGAGACUUGAUAUGCCAGACUAAUCUAAUGGUGUCAAUUUCUUGGUUGUGAUUCUCUUUUCUCGGGUGGCUGGGGCUGUGUUGAGUAGAGGAGACCUACUCCCCCCAGACAUGAGUGGAAAAUUGCAGCUUGGUCUCCAUGUGGUCCCUAACCAUUAGAGUGGGGACUCUCUGACUUGGAUCUCCUCUUCCUACCUGGACUGACUGGGUGGGCCUCAGUGGGCAGGGAUGCCUUUACUUCUGCUGUGACUUGAUGUGGCAGGGUGAGGUGGUGACGAAGGGUCAGCUUCCCUUUGUCUCAGGCCAAGAAGAGGGGCAAUGGGAGGAGAGAUCUGUAAGGGUGGGAGUCAGCCGGCAGGUCCUUUCCUUAUCUCUACAGCUUAGCCUUCUGAGGUCCUGUCUGUCAAUUGUCAUUGCCCUUGGUGCAGUGGUCCUUUUCAUACUGUUAUUUUUGCCUGUCGGGGCCCAUGAGAAUUCUUUUCAUCUUCCUGUGUCCUUCCACUGGAGAUAAAUUGAAUUUUGUCACAGGCUCUUUUUUGUAUCUAUUGAGAUGAUCAUGUAAAUUUUCUUUUCCGUUUAAGUACAUUAAUUAUUCCACUUAAUGGUUGAUGUGGAUGAACUCUCCUGGCAUCUCCUGUCUGAAGACAGCUUGAAUGUGAUGUAUGAUUGUUUCCUCCACAUAAUAAUUUAUAAAACUCAGUAUUUGUGAAUUUCACACCACAGGUUCAUCUUGCAUUUGCUUCCCAGUCCUUCCCUCUUUUUCCUCCACCCUUGGAAGAUACCCUCCAGUAAAACAAACAAAUGAACAAACGAACAAAAACCAAAAAUAACUAACUAAAAACAAAAACCUUCCAAUUUCUGUUGUUUCUGCAUCCAUAGGGAUGUGUACAGACUCUCAGAUUCCUGCCCCAGAUGGAGGUGAGGCCUCUGCCUCCUGCCACCCUGCUGGACGUCAUCUACUGGGGAAGGUGACACCCCAGCAUCCUAUCACAGUUUUUAAGAGUUCACUCUGAUGGUUUCCUAUGGAGGCUCUUGCUAUUUGGAGGGGAUCGCUGUCAUGGGAAAGAUAGGGGUUGUCAUAGAAAUCUUCCAUGUCCCUCUUUCUGAACUGUGUGUGUGUGCAGUCAUUGAUAGCUCUGUGAAAUUAGCUUAUUUGCUCAUUAUGGAGCAAGGGAGCGUGUGGGCUUCCACAUGGUUUCUGGCAUCAGCACAGACCAGGAACAGGACUCGCAGUUACAGAAAGACCAUGAACCCAGGUAAGGCCCUUAGGUGCAGCUGAGAUCAUAGACAUCAGUGUGGCUCCAGCUGCAGCAUAAUCCGUGGACAUCCACUUGGCCUUCAACUGCAACUCAGGACACCCUGAGACAUGGCCCUCUGUAUCAACACAGACCAGAGAUUACCAUGACCUUGGGUGGCAGAGAAAACCACCCAGAACUGCUUCGGCUGUGUGACCUUCAGUGCCUGCGUGUCCCAAGAUUAUCAGCACAGCUUCCCACUGCAGUACAUGUCCUGAACAUCUUCAUGGCCUUCAGUGGUAUCAUAGAACACGAGAUCAACACACCAGACCCGAAUAAGACCACAGACCCACACAUGGCCCUUUAUGACAACACAGGCCAGACAUGACCAUGGAGCUGGGAGACAUCACAGACCACACACAUGGCUGUGCACCACCCUCUCACCGUUGCCCACGGUCAGGAGCAAGGCUGUCUUCAGGAUUCAGCACAGACAGCAGACUUCCAUGUGGUCUUUGGCAGUAGUGCAGGCCAUCCCCACCAGGACACAUGGGGAAGCAUCAAGGCCAUGGACCUAGACAUGGCUCAUAGCCGUACCAGGACUAGAUCCUCACUAAGGUCUGAGGUGGCUGAGCAGGCCACUAACAUCAGUAUGUUCCUAGGGGGCAGCACGGGCCCAAGACAUGAGCCAGACAAUGGCACAGGACAGGGAUAUUUAUAUGUCAUCAGGUAACAACUUAGUUCUCAGACAUCAACCCAGACCUCAGGCACAUCAGGGCCAUUGACCCAAAAUGGACAUCAGUACCAUCCAUCCAUCCAUCCAUCCAGAAAAUGCACCAUUGCUCAUCUCGGGCCUCCAUCAUUGCCAAGAUCUAGGGUGAUCUUUCUCUAGCCCAGGUAGCUUUGUUUGAGGGCUGAGCCUGCAUCUGCUUAAGGUCCAGGAUGCUGCACACCAUCCUGUCAACUCCACUAGGCAAUACAUAAUUCACCAUCAACCUCAGCCCUCUCUGUUUCCAGUGACCGCAGUCACAUCUGUAGUUCCACCUCUCUCCACAGCGCAUGCCCUGCUCACACAGCUCGGCUCCUCCAUUUCUCCCAUCUCACUCCUCAUUUUUGCUGUUUUUGCAGUAGUGCCCAUCUGGGUAGGUCUACUAUGCAUGUGCACAGUAAGGGUAUCCUGUGCCAAGCCUGCCAAGGGCGCCUAGCUGGCUUGCUGGGCCCACAGAGCAUAUGAUCUCUUAAAUAUAUGCUUUUGCUCUGUUUCCAAGUAGUCUAUGGAAGAAAUUUGCAUCUCUACUGCUGAGGCGUAUUGGCUUACCGUACACUUGUUGUUGUUGUUGUUGUUGUUGUCUUUAAAGGGUUUUGUAGUAGAGUAAAACUGGCUACCUGGAAGCCAUUUCUAAGGUCUGCUUUAGUUUUUAGCUUUGAAAUAGUUCAUAAAUUGGUUGUAGAUCUUUGAAUCUCUGUUAGAAUUGUCCUCUGAAUGCAUCUGGGCCAGGGCAUUAUUCCUCAGGAGGAUUUUGUAAAUCGUUUCAAUCUUCUUAUUUGUUUAACAUGUUCAUCUCCUCUUAGUUUAACUUUCCUGGUUCCCAUGAAUCUAAUAAUUCAUCCAAUUCUUUUAGACUUUCUAACUUGAGGAGAUAUAUACAUAUAUAUAUAUAUAUAUAUAUAUAUAUCACACACACACACACACACACACACACACACAUAUAUAUAUAUAUAUAUACAUAUAUAUAUAUAUAUAUAUAUAUAUAUAUAUAUAUCCUUACAAUGUUCUGAAUUUCUUGGAGUGGGUCUAAGGGCUUCCCUGUUCACAUGUGAGUCUGUUCAUUGGGAUUAUAUUUUCCUUUCAUUUGGUGAGUUGGACAAAAAGAAUUGUUGAUCUUAAUUUAUCUUAAUUUGUUUGCAAAAAAUCAAAUUAAAAUAAUAGAACAAUAAAAAAUAGAAAACAAAAAUAACAGCGCUUAGAUUGGUUGGUUCUUGGCAUUGCUUCGUCUCUACCUCCCUAGUUUAGUCCUCACCAUCUACUUGAUGUCUUUUUGUGUUGUUGUUCUUGUCCUUUCAAAUCCUUGAGCUGCCCCACGCACAGUUAUUCGUUCUCAUUCUCACUUUUGCUAAUGCAGGAGUUUAGACCUAACCAUAGCACUCAUGCGACCAUGUUUAAUCUAUCCGAGAUUGCUUGAGUUCUCUUUGCUUUUAUUUAAUUCAAAGAAGCUCUACCUUCUUCUCUUGAUGUAUGUUUGAGUGUUGUUUAAUUUCUAUGAGUUUACAUGUGCAUAAGUGCUUGGAAUUCCUGUCCUGUUCAUUUUAGGAUCCAUUCCAGGGUAGGCACAUGGGAUGCAUGGAGUCCUUUCAAUGUUCCUAACUGGGUUAAGGUUUGUUUCAUAUUCCAGGAUGUGGUCUGUUUUAGGAAGAUCUCCUAGGCUGUUAUAUGUUUGCAAUCUUUGGCAUUUCAGGGGAAUGGACAUAGAUAUCUCUUAGGCUCACUAGAUGUGUAGUGUCCAUUAUUUCUGUUAUUUUUAUGUUUCUUGUGCAGAGGACCAGUCUACUGGAGAAAGUGUGGUAAUGACAUCAUCAGUUGUUGGUGCAUUCGAGUUAAUCUGUGCCUUUUAAAGUCCAAUCUAAUUUUUAUGAAGUUGGGUUGCACAGUUUGGAACAUAUAUGCUAUACGAAUUGUCCUUCCUCAUCUCUUGGCCUUGUUGUUUGUUUGUAUCUUAGUUUAAAGUCUACUUUCUUAGGUACCAGGAUAGUAAUACCUGCUUAGUUCCUGGUCUCACCUGCCUCAAAUAGUCUUUCCACUCCUUCACUAUAUGCUAGUGAAGGUAAGACGAAGUUCUAUAUAUCCGAGAACUGAAUUCUGUUUAUCAGUUCAUUCAGUUAAAGUGUGUCUUUGGAUUAGGGUGCUGAUGUCAUUAAUAUUAUUGACAGAUAUUAUUAUUGUUAUUGUUAACUGUUUAUUGUUAACAGAUAUUGUUAACUGUUGUCAUCUGUUGGGUAUCGCUUUGUGUAUUACUUGUCUGUUUUGUGCUGUAAUAUCGAUGGCUUCGUAUGUCCGUGUUUUUACAGUGUCUUUGCUGUGCUUCCUCCUCUCUCCUGUCCACAGUUGUUCCCAGUGUCCACUGUGAGACCCACUGCUCACCUUGUGUUUUAGCCUGUGUGCAUUGGAACAAGUCGUUCUUCCUUUCCUUUUUAUUUCUUGAUUUGGUUUUUUGGGGGGAGGGGAAUUUUUGUUCUUUUUUUAAUUGGGUAAUUUUUAUUUACAUUUAAAAUGCUAUCCCUUUCCCCCCACCCAACCACCCACCCCCUCUCGCCACCACACCCUGACAUUCGCCUACACUGGGAGGUCAAGCCUUGGCAGGAACAAGGUCUUCUCCUCCAUUUGGUGCCCAACAAGGCCAUCCUCUGCUACAUAUGCAGUUGGAGCCAUGGUUCUGUCCAUGUGUACUCUCUGAGUAGCGGUUUAAUCCCUGGGAGCUCUGGUUUGGGUGGUUGUUCUUAUGGGGCUGCAACUCCCUUCAGCUCCUUCAAUCCUUUCUCUAACUCCUCCAAUGGGGACCCUGUACUGAGUUCAAUGGUUUGCUGUGAGCAUUCUCCUCUGUAUUUGUCAUGCUCUGGCAGAGCCUCUCAGGAGACAGCUAUAUCAGGCUCCUGUCAGCAUGCACUUCUUGGCAUCAGCAAUAUUGUCUAUGUUUGGUGACUGUAUAUGGGAUGGAUCCCCAGGUGGGGAAGUCUCUGGAUGGUCUUUCCUUCAGUGUCUGCUCCACACUUUGUCUCCGUAUCUCCUCCUACGAAUAUCUUUAUGCCCCCUUUAAGAAGGACUGAAGCAUUCCCACUUUGGUUGUCCUUCUUCUUGAGCUUCAUGUGGUCUGUGGAUUGGAUCUUGGGUAAUCCAAGCUUUUUGGUAAUAUCCACUUAUCAGUGAGUGCAUACCAUGUGUGGGUUUUUUUGUUUGUUUGUUUGUUUUGUGUCUGGGUUACCUCACUCAGGGUGAUAUUUUCUAGUUCCAUCCAUUUGCCUAUGAAUUCAUGAAGUCAUUGUUUUUAAUAGCUGAGUAGUACUUGUGUAGAUAGAUGUACCAUAUUUUCUGUAUCCAUUCCUCUGUUGAGGUACAACUGGGUUCUUUCCAGCUUCUGGCUAUUAGAAAUAAGGCUGCUAUGAACAGAGCGGAGCACAGUUUCCUAGCUACUUUCGUCCAGACUGGCAGUAGUCAUCUUUUAGAUAUUAAAGGAUAUCUCUCAGGUUCUUCUGGAUUUUAAGGUUUCCAUUAACAAGUUGGUUGUCAUUCUGAGGGGUUUUCUUUCAUGUGUCACUUGUGACAUUUUUUCUCCCUCAGGUUUCAGUACUCUCUUGUUAUUCUGUGACAGAGUCUUUUACAAGUAAUGAGCAACAGGGUGUUUGUUUCUUGUUCUCUCCCUUUGCUAUAUAAAGUUUUUCAGUUAUCUGGGUGGGUGUGUCUUUUCUCACUUUAAGUAUCUCUUUCUAUGAUCCUGUUAAUGAUCUGAUCAAAGCCUGAGAUCCUUUUGCUUCUGUUAUACCCUCCACUCAAGCCUCUGGGCUUUCCUGGUGCCCCAGAUUUCCAUUAUGUCCCUUGACUGUCUUUAUUUUCCUUUCCUGUGCUUUGCAAGUGUGCUUCACUUUCUCUGUUCUAUAUUCACGUCUGAUAUUGUGCCCUGCCCAUGACCCAUUCAACGAGUAAUGAUUUUCCCUGCGUUUCCUACUCAGUUAUUGAGUUCAGUUUGAUCUUCAGAUGAGGAGAGGCGCUUUCAGGGUCACAUCUUCAUUUCUGCUUAAGUUCUCUUCACUAUUUCUCUCCCUUCACUGUACUCAGGUUUCAAAUCUUAGUUUUUCAUUGCCAUUUCAUUUACCUGUAUAUUUUUUUAGACAUCACUCACACACUUGUUGCCUACUUUCAAUCCAUUGAGCUUUCCUUAUGUGAUCUUUAAACUCCUUGCCGUCUUUGAUAAUGUUUAUGAUUAUUUCCAACCUGUGUCCUUGGGUUGAUCUGGGUCCUAAUUGUCAUCGGAGGACAAUUCUGUAAUAUUACUGCAUUCCGGGUUGGGUCUGCUGUUUUGGCUGUUCAUAUUGUGUGUGCUUCUGUGAUAUGAUCUCAGCCUGUGGACUUCUUUCUUUUUCUGUGUGUCUGGUGUGAGAGUCUGGCCAGCUUCAGGCUGGACCAGUGCAGCAACUGUGUGAGCAGGACUAGUCGUGUGUGACAUUUGGAGAUGGUACAGGUGGGUUCUUUGUGGUAAUCUCACUAAGGAAAUUCAGAAGAUACACUUAGUGUAGCUUGACAGUGUAGACCUAGUGUGGGCUGGCUUGGUUCCCAUGGGACUCACCAGGUAAAGCCUGUGCAGGAGGUGUCUGUCUAGAGCUAGGCAUAGGAGAAUGUGGAUGUCAUGGGGAGGCUCUUAGACAUUCAUGUUCUGUAUGUAAACAAGAGAGUAUGUGAAUUAACAGAUAUAUCCAUUUCCUUGAUUCCUCCAUGCAUAUCUAAGCAGCUCCAGGCAGGAGGAAUGUUUGAAGGAAUUAAGAAAGUUCUACUCCUUUCUCUUUCUUGAUUCAUAAUACCUUUUAAACCAAUGAUCUGAAAAACCCACCAUUCUCUUAAAACUGUUUUAUAAAGUAAUGUCCCUGGGAUGGUGGAAAGGAGUGGGGCACAUCAGACCACAGCCAGAUACUGCAGCCUGGACAGAACGUUAUCCAGCACUGAUCAAGAAGAUUUUAAAUGUUAUUCACUAGAACCGUUUUUUUAAAAGAUUUAAAGGCAGCUGCUGAAAAGAUUUCCUUUUUCUCUUGUGAUAGUUCGUAUAUGCUUGGGCCAGGGAGUGGUACUAUUAGGAGGUGUGGCCUUGUUGGAGUAGAUGUGUCACUGUGGCUGUGAGAUAUAUUACCCUAAUCCUAGCUGCCUGAAAGGGAGUCUUAGAGUAGGAGCCUUCAGAUGAAGACUUAGAAUUCUCAGCUCUUCCUGAACCCUGCCUGCCUGGAUGCUACCAUACUCCUGCCUUGAAUAUGAUGACUUGAACUUCUGAAUCUGUAAGCCAACCCCAAUUAAAUGUUGUUCUUAUAAGAGCUGCCUUGGUCAUGAUGUCUGUCCACAGCAGUAAACCCCUACUAAGAGUUCACCCAUUCAGCCACAGAUAUUAGAAAAUUUAUGAAAGUUUUUAAAUUUUCAAAGAAAAGUAGGUCCCAGCUGCUUAAAGGGUGCUUAAAAACAGAGAACACUUGAGACAUCUUGUGCAUAAACUGAAGGCCACCAUCUCUUCUGAUGAUAAAUCAUGGUUAAACAUACAUACCCAGCAGAAUUUUGGUUUCUUAUCCUCUGUAAGGAGAAGCCAACCACUAGGACUGGCCCAACCCCAAGCUCCUAUAAUUGUUUAACUAACCCGUUCAACUACUUUCGUCCACAUUAAACAAGACCCCGUAGCCCUGGAAACAGAAGGAAAUAUUGCCAUCCUCCGUAUUGCCUGAAUGAACAGACAGACAUACUGGUGCCCUGGGUGUCACCAUGGGACAAACUUCUGCUGCCUGUGAGGACCUGGAACCUCCAAAUCUUAUGGGUCUGAUUCAUCCAGAGAAAUAGGUACAUACUGUCUUUGAUCUAAAAGGUGCAUUCUUUGUACUCCCAUUGGCAGAAGUGAGUCAACCCAUCUCGGCUUUCAAAUGGACAAACACACUGGGAAAUUACAGCAGUCAACAUAUCAGGAGUAGUUUGCCCCAGGGUUUCAAGAUGCUACAUGCAAACCCCCUUCCCUUCCUUUGAGGUUUCCGGGAAGAUAGAUUAUUAAAGGGCCACUGAGGGACUCCUGCAGGAGCUACACACUGUGGGCUACAGAAUAUCAGCUAAGAAAGCCGGCCUAGAAUAUCAGAGGUUACGUAUGUAGGCUACCUGCUGAGGGGAGGCAGAAGGACCCUGUCUGUCUCAGAGUAGGAUUGCUACAAUCCUUCAGAUCCCAACUCCCAAGACUAAAGAUGGGUUCAAAUGUUCUUAGGUACAGAUGGAUAUUUCUGCCUCUAGCAAGCCUAUUAUCGGUCAGCACAAAGGCUCGUACAGACUAGUACUGAGGAUGCAAUCGACCAGUACCAAGGCUACUGUAGAUCAGGAGAAAGGCUACUACAGUUCAGCACAACGUGAGACACUAGCUCCUAAUCUCCACUGAGACUCAACUAAACAAAAGAGGUUUGACCUAAACGUUGGGGACAUGGAAAUGCCCUAUGAUGUAAACAGUUGGACCUGCUAACCACAGGCUGGCCCAUCUGUCUAAGAGCUGUUGUGGCUACUGCUAGUCUAAUGAAAGAAAGCACACAAGUUAACUCCACCUCAGGAUCUUUUAAUCACAGCACUCCUUGACAGAGUGGAGGCUUCCACUAAGGAGGACCAGAAUCCUGGCUAAUGACUGUGUGACCCAGUAUCAUUCCUACUCCUGGCCCACCCUCUAGUCAGGUUUGAGACACCCCCCUCCAUCAGUUGAGCCACCCUCCUGCCUGAUGACACAGAUGCUCAUCUCUGACUGUUGGGAGAUGAAAGAUAAAACCAGGUAUCUGAGAGAUGGGGUUGUUACUUUAACUGAAACGAUUUGGGCCUAAGCCAGGUACCUCUCCCCAGAGAGCAGAACUGAUAGAUCUGACCCAGGCUCUUAGAUGUGGAAAAGGAAAAGUCUACCACAAAAUACAUAGACCAUCCAUCCUUAUGGUUUACCUACUGGGCAUGUCCAUGGUGUGGUCUAUCGGGAAUGAAGACUUCUCACUGCUGGGAUAAAACAUGUUAAAAAAAGUCUUGGCCCUCCUCAAGGCUAUUUGGCUUCAUAGUAAACUACUCUCUUCCGCUGCCAGGCUGCUGACCUGGUUGCCUGACAAACAGCCUACAACCAAUGGGACCUAUUGAUAUUCCGAUGACAAACCACAAAUGCGAUACUGCCUGAGACUCCAUGAUGAGGAAGAAAUGGACAGCUCAACCCUCAGGUUGAAGCUAACUCCCUAUUGCUGAAGGCUCUUAGGAGACAGGACUUGUAUGAUUUGAAUUGAAUGUAAUCUGAAAGCCUUCUUCCUAUGUUAUAACUUCCAUACUACCAGAAAGUACUAUGAAAGUUCCCAACAGAAGGAAGCUGUUAAUAAUCCUACCCAACUAUGACACCUAUGAAGUACAACAAUGACCAGCAUGGCUACAUAUCUGCAAAGAUACAACAUGUGGCACUCACAUGUUUGUAGGAACCAAUAGCUUAUUGGACCUAAGGCCCACUCAAGGGGAGGAAAUCAUGCCUGGUGCAAGAAACCUAUCCAAAUACACAGGACUAGUGAGAUCAUGGAUCUUAGAAGAGAAUCUACUCCUGUCACCAUACUAGACCAAUAUAACUACAUUCUACAACUUACCUUCAUACCCACAGGUAAGUGUAAUUAUGACCUUCAUUAAAGAAACCUCUUUUUACAGGAAACAGAGAACAUUGGGAAAAACACAACUGGAUACAAUGUAGAGAUCAACCUAUUGUGGGUACUCCAGCCUCAAAGGAUACAUUUGUAGCACUGCUCUUGAAUCUGUGGCUCAGGAAAUAUCAGUAUUGCUGAAGAGGGAGUAGAAAAUGUACAAAAGCCAUAAUAUCAGAAGUCUGCUGUGAGGCUGUGUUACCUAAAAAUGGCUUCAUAUAGACACGCUAAUACAGAAAGAGGAAAGUCUCAGGUUGUCCCAAAGUUGGAGAAUUAGUGUCUCACAGGGAUGAGCACCCUAUUUUGUUAUUCAAUAUAAAGUGGUCAACCCCCAAACCAUAGGCAUACAAACAACAAAAAAUAAAUUUGAAGGUUGUAUUUACAUAAUUAUAUGUGUAUUUGUGUGUGUGUGUGUGUGUGUGUGUUCAAGACUAAUAAUCAGAAGAAAAUGAGCUAUCAAUCUGAAAGUAUGGAGGCACAGAAAAGACUGGAGGGAGGGGGUCAUGGGAGGGGCUAGAGGGAAGAAAGAAAAAGGUGGAGAUGAUGUAAUUAUAUUUCAAUUACAAUUUUAUAUUAAUACAACUCACAGACCAUAUGAAGCUCAAGAAGACGGAAGAACAAUGUGUAGACGCUUCAGACCUAUUUAGAAGGGGGAACAAAAUAAUCACUGGAGGUAGAAAGGAGGGACCUGGGAAGGAGAAGGAGGGGAAGGGAAAAAGGGGGACCAGAUCAGGUGUGGGAGGAGACAGGGAGAAGUACAGUGGGUCAGGAAAUUGAACGGAGGUGUGUAGCAGUGGGGGGAUGGGAAACUGGGGGGAGUCACUAGAAAGUCCCAAAUGCCAGGAAAGCAAGAGGCUCCUAGGACCCAACAGGGAUGGCAUUAGCUGAAAUGUCCAACAAAGGGGAAAGCAAGCCUGUAGAAACCAUAUCCAGAGAAAUACAGGGACAAAGAGUGGAGCAGAGACUGAAGGAAGAGCAGACCAGACUGCCAACCUAGAGAUUCAUCCCAUCUGCAAACACCAAACCCAGAUACUAUUGCUGAUACCAAGAAGAGCUUGCUGACAGGAGCCUGGUAUGGCUGUCCUCUGAGAGGUUCUGCCAGAUCCUUACCAAAACAGAUGCAAAUGCUUGCAGCCAACUAUCAUACUGAGCACAGGACCCUAAUAGAGGAGUUAGAGAAAGGACUGAAGGAGCUGAAGGGAUUUGCAACCCCAUAGGAAGAACAACAAUACCAACCAACCAGACCCCCCAGAGUUCCCAGGUCCUAAACCACCAACCAAAGAGUACACAUGGGGGGAUCCAUGGCUCCAGCUGCAUAUGUAGCAGAGGAUGGCAAUGUCCAGCAUCAAUAGGAGAAGAAGCCCUUGAUCCUGUGAAGGCUUGAUGACCCAGGGUAGGAAAACUGUAUAAAGGAAAGAAAUGAAAAAUAUUGCCCAAAUGAAAAAUGUGCAAACAAAUUAGAUAAAUGUGUGAGGGGAAAUAAAAGAUUAAAACAUAAAAAAAUGUAAAAUAUGAUAAAGUGAAAAUACUACUAACAGUAAGUUGGUAAAGAUCAUCCACGGACUGUUCCAAGGUCCCAGGAAAAGAUGUAGCAGAGGACUGCCUUGUCUGGCCUCAGUGAGAGAGAAUGCACCUAAUCCUGUAAAGACUUGAUGCCCCAGGGAAGAGAAUGGGGGAGGAUGAGGUUUGGAGUGGCAGGGUGAGUGAGGGAACACCUUUUCAGAGUCAAAGGAAGGGAGAAGGAGGGAAGAACUCUUAGAGUGGGGAUUGGGAAGAGGGCAACAUUUGAAAUGUAAAUAAAUAAAACAAUUUUUUUAAAAAGUAAGGUGACAGAGUACUCAAUACACUAGUCUUGAAAAUACUAUUAAAUGUGUAGUUAAAAAAAAAUAAGGGGAGAGCAAAGGACAAAAGGGCCUACUGCCAGUUCUGUGCAUGGCAUCAGUUGAACAUGUGUACUCUUGUCUUUCCUGUGCUUUAUGUUGACAUUGAACCUGGACAUGAAGAGUAUCCAAUUGCUACUGCAACUGUGUUCACUUUAGUAGCAUCCCUUUCUUGCAAAUCAAAUCACUUUUGCCUGUGUUAUCUGUGAGCCUGGCUCCUGCUUCCACCUUCCCAAAGGUCUCCAAAUCCUAACUCCCUGGAUGCUUGGUGUUCUAGCUGGGGCUGUUUCCUAAAUGCAUUGAGAGUUUGGGAAGCAACUAUAACACCGAUGUUUGCACGGGGUAACCGCCAUUGUAUUUGUCACAGUCCCAAAGAUCUUACCACUCUGCUGGAGGGAUUUAGUUGUGGGUAUAAAACUCCAGGAUUAUUCUCAGUGGAGGGUUUCUUCCUAUCCGUAGAGGGCAGGGCUGCCUUUUUCUGUGUACUUUAUUACCUGAGCCAAACCUCUUAGGGCCUGCACUUUUCAGCUUGUCAACAUCUUGUCUAAUCGUUUUCCACAAUUGGCUCCCAGGCUUGACUCUUACAGCCCUAGCAGGUUAUUUUGACUGUGGUUAUUUGACUGUAGCUGCCAUCUGUUCUCGGGCCCAAAACAAUAGGUUGUUUCUCAACAUGGCAUCCAGCUUCUGACCAAUAACUAAAUGGAAUUCAUCUGAAUUAUUUUGUCCAGUGGAGCAAACAGUCUCUUACUAAAACCUGUAACUGGAUAUGAAGCUUUGAGUGCUGUUGGUGGGCUCUGAAGGAAGACUGCCAGUCCCUUCUCACCAGACCUGCUUGCUUGCCCAUGGUGGAGGCUUCUGCUCGCCCCUCUGCCUCUAGGGAGCUGUGCAGCUGGAGCUGAGCUCAGCUGUCCAGAUCUCUUUACAGAGCAUCACUCAACUUUUCUUUCUCUGUGGAGAGAAUCUCUUGUGUGUUGUAUGGAUGUUGCCUGUCAAUUCAAAAGCCUAUGGCCGUAGCUUGGGAGGAAAUGGGAGAUAGGACAUCCAGGAGGAUAAAGAAUUCUGGGAUAGAGCCAUGCAGGAGAUUCUCUGGGAAGCUGAGCAGAAGGACACCUGAUACCUGAACAACAUGUAGCUAACCAGGCACGUAUAAAUGAGUAAGCAGGCAAGAAUAAAUGAGAUACCUUGUUAUAUCUAGUCAGAGAAGAACCUAGCUAUAAGGCCAAAGUAUUUGUAAAUAUAUUUUGAGUCUGAGUCUUAUUUCUGGAAGCAUGGGGCUGGGAGGCAGAAGCAGACUUAACUUCAACCCUCUUCACUUUUCUUUUCUUUGAAACUAUACCUGUUUCUCCUACAAUAUACCCUGACCACAGUUUUCCUUCCUUUCACUCCUCUCAGCUCCUACCCCAACAUACCUAUUCUCUCCCCCAGAUCCACUUCCCUUCUAUUGCCUUUCAGAAAGAACAGGCCUCCAGCAGAGGGCAGCCAAACAGGACAGAAAAAGAUAGAAUAAGACAGGGACAAUGGCCUCAUAUCUAGGCUGAGCAAGGCAACGCAACAGGAGAAAGAGUCCACAAAACAAGCAACACACUUGGCAAUGCACCCAAUACCACUGUUAGGAGUCCCACAAAAGCCCCAACUAACAGCCAUGAUAUAUACACAGAGGACCUGGUAUAGACCCAUGCAGGCCCCAUGCUUGCCAUUUCAAUCUCUGUGACCCCAUAUGAGCCCUGCUUAGUUGAUUCAUUGGGCCGUGUUUUCCUGGUGUCCUCCAUCUUCUCUGACUCCUACAGUCUUUCCUCUUUUGCAAAGUGGCCUGAGCUCACAGAGGAGUGACCCGACAGAGAACUCCAAUUUAGACUCUCCCCACAUAACGUCUACCUCCUGGUCUUUACAUCCACUACCAUUUGCUGCCAGAGAAACCUCUCUGAUGACUUCUGGACAAAGCAGUUAUCUACGAGUAUAGAAGAGUAUCAUUUGGAAAAAUUCAAUUGACCCUUUUUGUAGUGGUGUUUGGUUCUACCCUAGGUUUCUGGGCUAUCCAGUCUUCAGUUCCUGGCUAUGUAGGCAGUAUAGGGCAUGGGCUUCCUCACAUGACACAGGGCCUCAAAUGAAACCAAACAUUGGUUGUCAACUCCCACAAGUUCUUUGCCAACAUUGUUCCAGCACAUCUUGCAGAAGGACAGAUUGUAGGUCAAGGAUUUUUGUGGCUGGGUUAGUGUCCAGAUUUCUCUUUUCACAGCCUACAAAGUACCUUCUAGUGCCAAAGAGAUUAGAAUUUAAGGGUGAAGUCUCCAUGCAGGUACCAGCUUGACCUCUGUAUGUUCAAUGAGCUGCCGGUAUGUUGUCUUUGGCAAUGGGCCCCCACUGUCAGUUUUCACAAAAAGACCCCUACCCUAACAUUAGCCUGGGUUGUUUAGAGAUCUCCACUGGUUAGCUGUGCUCAACAACUCAACCAAAUGCAACUCAGUCCCACCACUGGAAGCAUUGCCUGGCAUCUCUUGGAUAUAUGCCCAGGAAUGCUAUAGGUGGGUGUUGAAGUUGAUGAUUCCCAAUUUUCUGAGAAACUGCCAUAUUGAUUUCCAAAGUCGUUGCACAAGUUUGCACUCCCACCAAUGGAGGAGUAUUCCAUUACUAUACAUUCUCGAGCAUGAGCUGUCACUUGAGUUCUUCAUCUUAGCCAUUCUAACAGGUGCAAGCUGGAAUCUCAACAUAGUUUAGAUUUGCAUUUCCCCCAUGGCUAAGGAUGAUGAAAUUUUUCUGUAAGUGUUUCUCAGCCAUUUGAGGCUCCUCUGUUGAGACCUGUACCCCAUUUUUAUUGGAUUAUUUUGUUGAUAUCUAAUUCUCUGAGUUCUGCGUAUAUUUUGAAUGCUAAUUCUCUAUAGAAUGUGGAGUUGGUGAAAAUCUUUUCCCAUUCUGUAGGCUACCAUUUUCUCUGAUUGACAGUCUCCUUUACCUCACAGGAUAAUCUUAGUUUCUUGAGGUCUCAUUUAUUAAUUGUUGAUCUUAGUUCCUGUGCUACUGAUGUUCUGUUUAGAAAGUUGUCUUCUGUACCAGUGUGUUUAAGGGUAUUUGUCACUGUCUAUCAAAUUCAGUGUAUCUGGUAUUGUGUUGAGAUCUUUGAUCCAUUUUAACAUGAGUUUUGUGCAGGAUAAUAAAUAUGGAUCUACUUGCAUUCUUUGUCUUAUCUUUUAUCAUUCUUAUCUUUUCACAUUCAACUUGACCAGCAUCAUUUGUUAAAGAUGCUUUCUUUUGUCCAGUGUGCACGUCCAGUUUUCUUGUUUUCCUUGACUUCUUUAUAAAACAAAACAAAACAGAAACAGGUGACCGUGAGUAUGUGAAUUUAUGCCUGAGCCUUCAAUUCCAUUGAUCAAAAUGACUUUUUGCCAGUAACAUGCUAUUUUUAUUACUAUAAUACUGUAGACAACUUGAACUUGGUAAUGGUAAGACCCUCAGAAGUUCUCUUACUAUUCAGAAUUGAUUUACCUGUCUAUCCUCAGGUUUGUUGUUGUCGUUGUUGUUGUUGUUGUUGUUGUUGUUGUUGUUGUUGUUGUUGUUGUUUUUCCAUAUUAAGUUGAGUGUGUCCUUUCAAGAUCUGUCAAGAAUUGUGUUGGUAUUUUGAUAGGGAUUCUGCUGAAUCUAUAGAUUGCUUUUGGUAGGAUGGCCAUUUUUUUACUAUGUCAAUUUUACUGAUCCAUGAGAAUAAGGGAUAUUUCCACCUUCUGACACCUUCUUCAAUUUCUUUCUUCAAAGACUUGAGACUUGAAGUUUUAUCAUACAGUUCUUUGACUUGCUUUAUUAGAGUUACUUCCAAGAUAUUGCAUAUUAUUUGAGGCUACUGUGAAUGGUGUUGUUUUCCUGAUUUCUUUCUCAAUACUUAGGGAGACUGCAGCAGGAAAAUCACUGUGAGUUCAAGAUCAGCCAGGGUUACAAAAUAAGACAAUGUCUCUAAAACAAAAUUGCAUUGAUAGUGGUGAAAUAAAAAAGGUGGCUGGGGGGAGCUGAACUCCCAGAAGUGCAGACAAUUCUGAGAUCUCAGGGGAGACCAACACAUCUGCCCACUUCUCCUCACAUUCCUGGCCCAAGAGGAACCUGCAUAGUGGCCUCUGGAUACAGGAAUAUAGGAGCAGUCAGUGGCAAGUACCUGCUGGUUUCUGCUUGCAUCCAGAACUGAACUGAAAUGGUCCCACAGCUCCCUGCAACCAAAUCCUGUACAGAAGAGAGAUAGACCCUCAGAAGUAUGGAAAAUCCUGAGAACUCAGAGGAGACAACUACUUUGUGCUGACAUUCCUGAUCCAAGAGGAAACCACCUAGAGCAAUCUGUCCACAGGCAGGGACCUAAGAGCAGUCAGGCACAGGACCCUUCAGGUUUCUGCCUGUGCCAAGAACUGAAAGCCAGUUGCCAAGAGAGUCUACACACAUGAGAGCAGAGGUAAGACCAACUUUUCUGCUCCAAGCAACCCACCUGGAGGUUCAGGUCACACAAAGUCAGGAGUAGCUCUCUGUUCCCAGAUCUGGCUGAAAGAAAAUAGGUCUAGGGGGGUGCUGACACACAGGCCUAUAAGAGGGUCAAGCCACUGUCAGAGACAGCUAGACAUGCUAACACCAAAAACAACCUGAUGAUAAGAGGCAAGCGCAGGAAGCUAAGCAACAGAAACCAAGACUACUUGGCAUCAUCAGAGCCCAGGUCUCCCAUCAAAGGAAAUACUGGAUAUCCAAACACACCAGAAAAGCAACAUUUAGAUUUAAAAUUGCAUGUUAUGAUGAUGAUAGAAGACUUUGAGAAAGACAUAAAUAACUCCCUUAAAGACAACACAAGUAAACAAGUGGAAGCCCUUAAAGAGAAAACACAAAAAUCCCUUAAAGAAUUACAGGAAAAGAGAAACACACAGGUGAAGGAAUUGAAAAAAAAACCAUCCAGAAUUUAAAAAUGGAAAUAGAAACAAUAAAGAAAGCACAAAAGGAGACAACCCUAGAGAUAGAAAACCUAGGAAAGUGGUCAGGAGUCAAAGAUUCAAGAAUCACCAACAAAACAUAAGAGAUAGAAGAGAGAAUCUCAGGGGCAGAUUAUACCAUAGAAAACAUUGACACAAUGGUCAAAGAUAAUGUAAAACACAAAAAACUCCUAGCCCAAAACAUCCAGGAAAUCCAGGACACAAUGAAAAGAUCAAACAUAAGGAAAAUAAGUACAGAAGAGAGUUAAGACUCCCAACUUAAAGGGCUAGUAAAUAUCUUCCAAAAAAUUAUAGAAGAAAACUUCCCUAACUUAAGUAAAGAGAUGUCCAUAAACAUACAUGAAGCCUACAGAGCUCCAAGUAGAUUGGACCAGAAAAAAAAUCCCUUCUGUCACAUAAUAGUCUAAACACCAAACACACAAAACAAAGAAAGAAUAUUAAAAGCAGUAAGGGAAAAAGGUCAAGUAACAUAUAAAGGCAGACCUAUCAGAAUUACACCAGACUUCUCACCAGAGACUAGGAAAGCCAGAAGAUCCUGGACAGAUGUCAUACAGAACCUAAGAGAACACAAAUGCCAGCCCAGGUUACUGUAUCCUGCAAAACUCUCAAUUAACAUAGAUGGAGAAACCAAGAUAUUCCAUGACAAAACCAAAUUUACACAAUAUCUUUCUACAAAUCCAGCCUUGCAAAGGAUAAUAGAUGGAAAAACUCCAACAUAAGGAGGGAAACUACACCCUAGAAAAAGCAAAAAAGUAAUCUCCUUGCAACAAAAGCAAAAGAAGAGACACACACAAACAUAAUUCCACCUCUAACAAUAAAAAUAACAGGAAACAGCAAUCACAAUUACUUAAUAUCUCUCAACAUCAAUGGACUCAAUUCCCCAAUAAAAAGACAUAGAAUAAACAUACUGGAUAUGUAAAGGACCCAGCAUUUUGCCGAAUACAGGAAACAUACCUCAGAGAAAAAGACAGACAUUACCUAGAGUAAAAGGCUGGAAAACAACUUUCCAAGCAAUGGUCUGAAGAAACAAGCUGGAGUAGGCAUUCUUAUAUCGAAUAAAAUUGACUUUCAACCAAAACUUACCAAAAAAGAUAAGGAAGGACACUUCAUAUUCAUCAAAGGAAAAAUCCACCAAGAUGAACUCUCAAUCUUACAUAUCUAUACUCCAAAUGCAAGGGAACCUACAUUCAUAAAAGAAACCUUACUAAAGCUCAAAGCACACAUUGCACCUCACACAAUAAUAGUAAGAGAUUUCAACACCCCACUCUCAUCAGUGGACAGAUCAUGGAAACAGAAAUUAAACAGAGACAAAGAAACUAACAGAAGUUAUGAACCAAAUGGAUUUAACAGAUAUUUAUAGGCAUUUUACCCUAAAACAAUAGAAUAUAUGUUCUUCUCAGCAUCUCAUGGUACCUUCUCCUAAAUUGAGCAAAUAAUCGGUCACAAAACAGGCCUCAAAAGAUACAAGAAGAUGGAAAUAAUCUCAUGCAUCCUAUCAGAUCACAUGGGCUAUGGCUGGUCUUCAAAAACAUCAAAAACAACAGAAAUCCCACAUAUACAUGGAAGUUGAACAAUGCUAUAUUCAAUCAUACCUUGGACAAGGAAGAAAUAAAUAAAGAAAUUGAAGACUUUUUAGAACUUAAUGAAAAUGAAGGUACAACAUACCCAAAUUUAUGGGACACAAUGAAAGCUGCGCGAAAAGGAAAACUCAUAACUCUGAGUGCCGCCAAAAAGAAACAGGAGAGAGCAUACACUAGCAAUUUGACAGGUCAUCUAAAAGUUCUAGAAGAAAAAGGAGCAAAUACACCCAAGAGGGGUAGAAGGCAGGAAAUAAUCAAACUUAGGGCUGAAGUCAACUAAGUAGAAAAAAAAAAAGAACUAUACAAAUAGUCAACAAAACCAGGAACUGGUUCUUUGAGAAAAUCAACAUGAUAGAUAAACCCUUAGCCAGACUAACCAGAGGAAACAGAGAGUUUAUCCACAUUAACAAAAUCAGAAAUGAAAAGGGAGACAUAACAACAGAAUCCGAGGAAAUUAACAAAUCAUCAGAUCCUACUACAGACGAUUAUAUUCAACAAAACUGGAAAAUCUGGAGGAAAUGGACAAUUUUCUAGAUCAAUAACAGGCACCAAACUUAAAUCAGGAACAAAGAAAUCAUCUAAACAACCCCAUAACUCCUAAAGAAAUAGAAGCAGUUAUUAAAAGUCUCCCAACCAAAAACAAACAAACAAACAAACAAAAAAAAAACCUGGGACUAGAUGGCUUUAGUGCAGAAUUCUAUCAGACUUUCAUAGAAGACCUCAUACCAAUACUGUCCAAAAUAUUCCACAAAAUAGAAACAGGUGGACCGCUACCCAAUUCCUUCUAUGAAACCACAAUUACACUUAUACCUAAACCACACAAAGACCCAACAACAAAAGAGAACUUCAGACAUAAUUCCCUCAUGAAUAUUGAUGCAAAAAUACUCAAUAAAAUUCUCACAAACGGAAUCCAAGAACACAUCAAAAUGAUCAUCCAUCAUGAUCAAGUAGGCUUCAUCUCAGAGAUGCAAGGAUGGUUCAAUAUAUGGAAAUCUAUCAACGUAAUCCACUAUAUAAACAACCUCAAGGGGAAAAAACACGUGAUCAUCUCAUUAGAUGCUAAGAAAGCAUUUGAAAAAAUUCAAUGACCCUUCAUGAUAAAAGUCCUGGAAAGACCAGGAAUUCAAGGCCCAUACCUAAACAUAGCAAAAGUAAUAUAUAGAAAACCAGUAGCUAACAUCAAACUAAGUAGAGAGAAACUUGAAACAAUCCCACUAAAAUCAGGGACUAGACAAGGCUGCCCACUUUCUCCCAACUUAUUCAAUAUAAUACCUGAAGUCCUAGCCAGAGCAGUCAGUCAAUGAAAGGAGGUCAAAGUGAUAGAGAUUGGAAAGGAAGAAGUCAAAAUAUCACUAUUUCCAGAUGAUAUGAUAGUAUACUUAAGUGACCCCAAAAGUUCCACCAGAGAAGUACUUAGCCUGAUAAACAACUUCAUCCAAGUGGCUGGGUAUAAAAUUAACUCAAACAAAUAAGUAGCCUUCCUCUACUCAAAGGAUAAACAAGCUGAGAAAGAAAUUAGGGAAAUGACACCCUUCACAAUAGUCACAAAUAACAUAAAAUACCUCAGUGUGACUCUAACCAAGCAGUGAAUAAUCUGUAUGACAAGAACUUCAAGUCUAUGAAGAAAGAAAUCGAGGAAGAUCUCAGAAGAUGGAAAGAUCUCCCAUGCUCAUGGAUUGACAGGAUUAAUAUAGUAAAAAUGGACAUUUUGCAAAAAGCAAUCUACAGAUUCAGUGCAAUCCCCCUCAAAAUUCCUACUCAAGUCUUUAUAGAGAUAGAAAAAGCAAUUUGAAAAUUCAUGUAGAAUAUCAAAAAACUCAGGAUAUCAAAAACUAUACUUAACAAUAAAAGAACUUAUGGGGGAAUCACCAUCCCUGACCUCAAGCAGUAUUACAGAGCAAUAGUCAGAAAAACUGUAUGGUAUUUGUACAGAGACAGACAGGUAGAUCAGCAGAAUAGAAUUGAAGAUCCAGAAAUGAACUGACACACCUAUGGUCACUUGAUUUUUGACAAAGGAGCCAAAACCAUCCAAUGGAAAAAAGAUGGCAUUUUCAACAAAUGGUGCUGAUUCAACUGGAGGUCAACAUUUAGAAGAAUGCAGAUCGAUCCAUGCUUAUCACCCUGUACAAAGCUUAAGUCCAAGUGGAUCAAGGACCUCCACAUCAAACCAGAUACACUCAAACUAAUAGAAGGAAAAGUGGGGAAGCAUCUCGAACACAUGAGCAUUGGAGAAAAUUUCCUGAACAAAACACCAUGGCUUAUGCUCUAAGACCAAGAAUCGACAAAUGGGAUCUCAUAAAACUGCAAAGCUUCUGUAAGGCAAAGUACACUGUCAUCAGGACAAAAUGGCAACUAACAGAUUGGGAAAAGAUCUUUACCAGUCCUACAUCUGACAGAGGGCUAAUAUCAAAAAUAUAAAAAGAUGUUAAGAAGUUAGACUGCAGGGAGACAAAUAACCCUAUUUAAAAAUGGGGUUCAGAGCUAAACAAAACAUUCUCAGCUGAGAAAUAUUGAAUGGUUGAGAAGUACUUAAAGAAAUGUUCAACAUCCUUAGUCAUCAGGGAAAUGCAAAUCAAAACAACCCUGAGAUUUCACCUCACACCAGUGAGAAUGGCUAAGAUCAAAAACUCAGGUGACAGCACAUGCUGGCAAGGAUGUGGAGAAAGAGGAACAUUCUUCCAUUUUUGGUGGGAUUGCAGACUGGUACAACCAUUCUGGAAAUCAGUCUGGAGGUUCCUCAGAAAAUUGGACAUUGAACUACCUGAGGACCCAGCUCUACCUCUCCUGGGCAUAUACCCAUAAGAUGCUCCAACAUACAACAAAGACACGUGCUCCAUUAUGUUCAUAGCAGCCUUAUGUAUAAUAGCCAGAUGCUGAAAAUAACCCAGAUGCCCUUCAACAGAGGAAAGGAUACAGAAAAUGUGGUACAUUUACAAAAUGGAGUAUGCUGACAGGAACCGGAUAUAGAUCUUUCCUGAGAGACACAGCUAGAACAUGUCAAAUACAGAGGCGAAUGCUAGCAGCCAAGCACUGAACUGAGAACAAGACCCCCCAUUGGAGGAAUCAGAGAAAGGAUUGAAGGAGCUGAAGGUGCUUGCAACCCCAUAAGAACAAUAAUGCCAACCAACCAGAGCUUCCAGGUACUAAACCACUACCCAAAGGCUACACGUAGACAGACCCAUGGCUCCAGAUGCAUAUGUAGCAGAGGAUGGCCUUGUUGGACACCAGUGGAAGGAGAAACCCUGGGUCCUGCCAAGGCUGGACCCCCAAAUGUACGGGAAUGUUGGGUGCUAGGGGGCUAAGGGUGGGUGUUUGGGGAGGAUAACACCCUUUUAGAAGAAGGGAAGGGUGAUAGGAUAGGGGGCUUAUGUCCCAGUAACCAGGAAAGGCAGUAACAUUUGAAAUGUAAAAAAAUAUCCAAAAAAAGGUGUGCAGAAUUCUAGUUUUCAAAUUGAUCACAUCACCUGCCUGCCUUCAUUUCUAGUGUCUUAGAUUAGGCAGCGAAGAUACAUUGUUCUGCUUAUGCAUUGUUUGCUCACGUUUCCAUUCCUUCACUUUCCUGAAGGAUAGUAUCUUUAUUGGUUAAACAUCAAUCUCCAGAAUGAAAUGAAAUAUUCAGGCUAAAUAAAGUUUUGUUUUAAUAGGGUAGUAAUAUAUUUAGUUUUAUUUCAACAAAAUCACACCACUUCUCAAGCUGAUGCAAAGUUUUGGACAGUUUUUUUUUUUUACAGAUUCACUUUAUUUUUAAGAUUCAUUUAUUUUAUAUAUGUGAAUACACUGUAGCUGUUCUCACACACACCAGAAGAGAGCAUCAUAUUUCAUUACAGAUGGUUGUGAGCCACCAUGUGGUUGCUGGGAUUUGAACUCAGGACCUCCAGGAAGAGCAGUCAGUGUUCUUAAACUCUGAGCCAUCUCUCCAGCCCUCAGAUCCACUUUAAAAGAUUUUUUGUUUGUUUGUUUUGUGUCAGUACCAUAGUCCUCUUUUUUACAGGAAUAGCCCCAAAUUCUCACUACAAAAUAAGAAUUCCAGUCUCGUAAAUGCAUACAAUUACAAUAAACUAGACUCUUAAAAUGACAGAAAGAAAAUUUUCAGAAGCUUAGUGGAAAGAAUGUAGACUUUAAAAAAAAUCCACUGUCGUGAACAUAAACUGAAAAUUUUCAGCCAAAGUAGAAGCUGAGAUCAAAAGAUGAUAUACAAAAAUCAUCACUCAUUUGCUGUACUGAACCAGAAGCACAAAUAUAAAUCUUGUCUAAAAUGUACAAAUUCUCAAACAACAAUGAACAUCUUUCUUAGUUGUUCAUUCUAAGGAAUAUAGACACUUAUGAGCCAAACAAUAGCUAAUAUAGAACCAAUCUAACUUAGUAAUGUGAAGGACAGUUUGUGGGGGAAGAAACCUUUAUUGUAACAGUCCUUUAGAAGAUACAUUAGAAGAAUGGCAGGGUAUCAGGUUAAUGUCUCUCAGCCCUUUUAAAGUCCAUGCCCUAAAAUGUAAAGCUUAGUUAUCCUUCUGUAGGCUGAGAGCUUGCUAGCAUGGCAGUAAAUUAUUAGGAAGGAGAAGAGAAUUGGGUGAAAUGUGGUUAUUCAUCAUAGAUGCUGUCCUAGUUGCCUGGGAUGUGAACAGUGUCAGGGAUUUCUGGGAAAUGUUCAUGCAUAAAAAUAUUGCCUUAGAUGGUUUAAAAGUGUCCUCAUACAAUGGUACAUUGUUACCCCUCAGUGAAGCCUUUAAAAAGAAACAGCUAGGUUGAAAAUAGUUUAAAAGAAGUAAAUACAGAAUCAGCUUUUAAAGCUAUUAAGUCAGUGAUUCUCUCAGUUAUGAAAUCUUGAGAGGUCCCUUUCUUUUCUCAAAGUUCAGGUGAUGGCAAUAUUUCUUCAUCUCUAGCCACUUUUUUUUUCAACAUCUCUAUCUUGUACAUCAUUAUGUGCUCCAUCAAUUUUGGGUAAAUCUACUUGGUCGUCACAACUCAUAUGGUCCAUUCCCUCAGACAAACUCCACAAAAAAGGCGUGUCUGCACCUGAAUCAUCUUCCCAGGCUUCGCAGUCAUUAAAAUCCACGCAAAAACAAUGAGGCUUUGCACAUUCCUUUGAGAACCUUAGUCAUGAUUGGCCAGAUUCUCCAUUUUUUUAGCAGCAUAAAAUGAAUCUAGGUAUUCUUUUCCACUUAUGAUCAUUUGGCUCAAUACAGUUUUGAAUAAAAGAUUUCUUUCAUUUAAUUGUUUACUCCUCUAUGACAAAUUAAAUUAGGUUUGGAUUUAUUUUCAGACUUUGUAUUAACGUCAUCAUUGUCCUCAAAACAAAAUUUGAUGUCAGCACUUUGCACAAAUAGGUUGCAUGGUGAACAUGGCAUAGCAUGAGUAAACAGGCGGGUGGAUCUCACUGGCCCCAGCAACCUUGAUUGAGACUCCAGCCUUUUCUGCCACUUCUGCAUCCUUUCCAGGAAGGCACAGCAAGUGAGAUUAGCCUUGAUUCCAAGAAUGCAGUACAGGACAGAAAGUCCUUAGUUUCAGAGGAGAGGAAACUGCAGGGGAAAGAGGAUAUAAGAACAGAGAAAACAAUGUGCAUCCCUAAGAAGGGUGGAGUACAGAUGCUUAUUUAAAAAAACACAGGUAUUUUAGUGGGCAGUUCCUGUAGUGCAUGGGUUUGUUCUUUAUUUAUUAAAAUAUCCACCCCUCUCUUGUUUACUUGUUAAAAGGAAAAUUAUUUUCUUGCCAAAUAUGGUUUCUUUAUGUUAUUCAAUAUCUUCUUUUUUCUCAAGAAUAAUAAAGAAUCAUGAUGAUAAAUAUAAUUUCUUAUUAUGUCCUAAUGACAUCUCUGUCAUAAUGCCUAUUUUAUAAGUAAAAUGUAGGUCAGAAAGACAUUAAUAUAAGAUUAAGAAAUGGAUAAGCACACAUCUCAGCCUGUUUCUUCUUCAUUACAUGUUUCAAGUUAUCAUAUGGCUAAUGAAGAGAAAAAAAUUGUCACUGCUAAAGCCCUAAUAGGGACGUAGAGGUAACAUAAGUGAAAAAAAUGUCACAUGUCUGCCCCUAAUGUGUAAAUUGGUUUGUUGUACAUCAUGAACAGCUUUAUCUGGCUGAAAAGAUAAAUAAUAACUUGGAAUUUCACUGAGUAGAGAAGUUGGUAGGUGUUCAUUAUAACUAUCUAGAACAGUGUUUCUCAACUUUCCUAAUGCUGCAACCCAUUAAUACAGUUCCUUAUGCUCUGGUGAACCACCCCACCAUAAAAAAUACUUCAUUGCUACUUGAUACUGUAAAUUUGCUACUGUUAUAAAUCAUAUGAAUUAUGGAUUGUGAAUCAUAAUGUGUGAUAUGCAAGGUGAUCUUAGGUGACCCCUAUGGGAGGUUUGUUUGACCCCAAAGGGGUCGAUUAUUACGUUGCAAAGAUGUCAUUCAUUUCAUGGAAUUUGAGCAUUGGUUCAUAGUACUUUCAGUUGCAAAGCUGACGAGGUAUAAAUGAAACAGGGCUGCAGAUGUGAUUUAGUAGCAGAGUACUUGCCAAGUGUGUCACCAGCAAUGCAUAAGCACACACACACUGUACUGGCUGGUUUUGUGUGUCAACUUGACACGAGCUGGAGUUAUCCCAGAAAAGGAGCCUCAGUUGUGGAAAUGCCUUCAUGAGACCCAGUUGUAAGGCAUUUUCUCAACUAGUGGUCAAGGUGGGAGGACCCAGCCCAUUGUUGGUGGUGCCAUCCCUGGGCUGGUUGGUCCUGGGUUCUAUAAGAAAGCCAAGCUGAGCAAGCCUGGGAAAGCAAGCUGGUAAGAAAUAUCCCUCCAUGGCCUCUGCAUUAGCUCCUACCUCCUGACCUACUUGAGUUAAAGUCCUGAUUUCCUUUGGUGAUGAAACAGCAAUGUGGAAGUGUAAUCUGAAUAAACCCUUUCCUCCCCAACUUGCUUCUUGGUCAUGAUGUUUAUGCAGGAAUAGAAACCCUGACUAACAUAAGGGAAAUGCAAAUCAAAGCAACCCUGAGAUUUCACCUUACACCAGUGAGAAUGGCUAAGAUCAAAAACUCAGGUGACAGCAGAUGCUGGCGAGGAUGUGGAGAAAGAGGAACACUCCUCCAUUGUUGGUGGGAUUGCAGACUGGUACAACCAUUCUGGAAAUCAGUCUGGAGGUUCCUCAGAAAAUUGGACAUUGAACUACGUGAGGAUCCAGCUCUACCUCUCUUGGGCAUAUACCCAAAAGAUGCCCCAACAUAUAAAAAAGACACAUGCUCCAUUAUGUUCAUAGCAGCCUUAUUUAUAAUAGCCAGAAGCUGGAAAGAACCCAGAUGCCCUUCAACAGAGGAAUGGACACAGAAAAUGUGGUACAUCUACACAAUGGAGUGCUACUCAGCUAUCAAAAAUGACUUUAUGAAAUUCGUAGGCAAAUGGAUGGAACUGGAAAAUAUCAUCCUGAGUGAGGUAACCCAAUCACAGAAAAACACACACGGUAUGCACUCAUUGAUAAGUGGCUAUUAGCCCAAAUGCUCGAAUUACCCUAGAUGAACAGAACACGUGAAACUCAAGAAGGAUGAUCAAAAUGUGAAUGCUUCAUUCCUUCUCUAAAAGGGGAACAAGAAUGCCCUUGGCAGGGAAGAGAGAGGCAAAGAUUAAAACAGAGACUGAAGGAACACCCAUUCAGAGCCUGCCCCACAUGUGGCCCAUACAUAUACAGCCAUCCAAUUAGACAAGAUGGAUGAAGCAAAGAAGUGCAGGCUGACAGGAGCCGGAUGUAGAUCUCUCCUGAGAGACACAGCCAGAAUACAGCAAAAACAGAGGCGAAUGCCAGCAGCAAACCACUGAACUGAGAACAGGACCCCCGUUGAAGGAAUCAGAGAAAGAACUCGAAGAGCUUGAAGGGGCUCGAGACCCCUUAUGAACAACAAUGCCAAGCAACCAGAGCUUCCAGGGACUAAGCCACUACCUAAAGACUAUACAUGGACUGACCCUGGACUCUGACCUCAUAGGUAGCAAUGAAUAUCCUAGUAAGAGCACCAGUGGAAGGGGAAGCCCUGGGUCCUGCUAAGACUGAACCCCCAGUGAACUAGAUUGUUGGGGGGAGGGCGGCAAGAGGGGGAGGAUGGGGAGGGGAACACCAAUAUAGAAGGAGACGGGGAGGGAAAGGGGUUAGGGGGAUGUUGGCCUGGAAACAGGGAAAGGGAAUAACAAUCAAAAUGUAAAUAAGAAACACCGAAGUUAAUAAAGAUGAAAAAAUAUUCAUAAUAACUUGUAUCUGUGUGCAGAGAAAAAUCUUAACAUCUACCACCAAGUUCUCCCAACUCCUUCUCUCCUGCUUCUUUCUCCAUUUCUAAAACCUCUAUUCCCAACUCCGUUCCUUCUUGUCCAAUGACAGGGCUCAUUUUAUCUUGUCUGCCUUCACCUGCAUAAUGACAUCAACCUACAGGUUUGUACCAGAGUAGGUCUCUUUUCUUGUAGCUUCUCAUAGACUUUUCCUUCUGUUGACUUGGCAUAUCUAAUUUUGAUGUGAUGGCUUUUGUUUCAUCUUAUUAUAAUUUAUUGUGUUGUGUUUCAUUGUCUCUUAGAAAUCUGUUUCCUUUUUUGUUGUUGUUGUUGGGGUGGACUUUUGCUUGUUUUGUUUUGUUUUUAAGGAGAGACAGUAAACAAGUGGAUCUGGAUGGAAGGGGCAGUGGUCAGAAACUGGAAGGAGUAGAAGGGGAAAUGUAAUCAGGAUAUAUUGUAUAUAACUUAUGAGAAAAGAAUAUAUUUUCAAUAAAAUAAAAAACAUCAAAAAAAGAAACCCUAAGACACACACACACACACACACACACACACACACACACGCACACACACACACGCACAGGCACACACACACACACACACACACACACACACGCUCAGGCACACACACAUGCAAAUUGGAGACUGAACUCAGUGUGCCAUGAAAGGAAUUAUAACAAGCUGCUUACCAUGCAGAAGAAAUUAACAGAUGCCCAAUGUCCGUUUAUUCAUUCACCCAGUCUUUAUGUGGAGAAACAGGGAAUCUGAGCCAACUUACCUGAAUACAACAUUCAAGAAGAUGGGAAUAGUAUAGCAAGUUGUGAGCCCAGCACCAGACAAAGGGUUGAGAACUCUGAAGAUAAGAAAUUUGCGGUGCUUUCCAUCCCUCUCACACUCCCCGUUGCCUGACAGAGUAACGGAUAGGGAGCUGGGAAAUGCUUGGUGGAUCAUGGAAUGUGGUACAGCAACCUCAUGGAAACAAACCUCAAGCAGCACUCAACAUGAAAAUGGUAGAAGUGGGGAGGGAAUAUGAACCUAAGAGACUAUCAACAUGCACCCCCUCCCCGUAAUACACACACAGACACCCUGGCUAUAAUAGAGAAAACACAUACAAAUCACAGGAAGUUUGUGACUAAACUUGUUUUAGUAUCCUGAUAGACAGAAUUAAGGCAAACACCAUAAUUGGGCCUCCCCUCUCCCUUCAGAAAGAAACAUUAUCUGGGAACAUAAUGCCUUAUAUAUCAUUUUGAUUGCUUAUCUAUAUGUGUAUUGUAAUAUUCAAUAUCUUUUCAUUUUUAAUUUUCCGUAUACAUGUGUACUUUUAAAAUAUUUACACAUAUUUAUUUUUAAUGUUUAAUUGUUGUGUUAUAAUUCAUUGGGAAAGGCUUUUAUGUCUCUUCCUCUGUUUUCCAUAAGUAAUAUAUAGUAUUUUAAAAGUGCUUUUCAUAUCUCUAGUCCAUAUACUUUCUUCUUAUCAUAACUUUACCUUGGUUCUUUUUAACUUUUUCUCAUUUAAUUCUGUCUUCACAGCUUAGGAGCCCCCCCCCAAAACCUAGUUCUUCUGUCCCUGAAUAUUAUAGGGGACACAAUUGAGUGAACAAGUGCUUUCUCCUGAAGUUAACUCUGGGACAGCUAUUGAACUGGCAUCAUUGCUACUAUGUUGGCUUUCCUCUAAACAUAAAAUCCCCUCCACUAUACAUUAAGAAAACCCACUAGGAUGACUCAAGUGAAAUAAAACAAAGAAUAACAGUGGAGAAGUUAAAAAGUCGAAGGAUGCAUACAAAGCAAAAAGAAAAACAAAAUCCACAAGACACCAUUCCACUAUAAACUGACAACACAUUCAUACCAAAAAAUAUAAUGAGAUAUUUGCAAUGAGAUAAUGAGAUAGUUGCAAUGUCAGGAAAAUAUUUCAGAGUCCUACUUUUCAAAAGCAUUAAUGACCAUAUAGAGGACUCAAAUAGCAAAAUUAAUUCAAGGCAUAGACAAGAAUAUUACCAAAGUAGAUAAAAUAAUGUAUAGCUAUGAGGAAAAAUUUUAAACCAUGGUGGGAAAAAAAUCAACAAGUAAAUUGGAAAUGCUAAAAAUGGACCACACAGAAAUUCUGAAAAAAGAAUCAGUCAGCCAUCUAACAAGCACAGAACAAGUCAUCAAUGGGAAGACCAAACAGGAGAAUGGAUUUCAAAACAGAUGACAAUGUUGUGACAAUAAUUAUACAGACAUAAACAUUAAAAAAAUUACUUCCAAGGAAUCUGGGAUACAUUCAAGAAACCAACCUGGGAAUAUGUGGAGUAGAAAAAGGAGCUGAGACAAAGCCAAAAGGCUUAGUGUAUCUGAUAAAAUUAUAAACUUAAACUUCUAAACUUAAAGAAAUAGACUUACACACACAUACACACGCACACACACACACACACACACACACAGAGAGAGAGAGAGAGAGAGAGAGAGAGAGAGAGAGAGAGAGACUUAGAACCCCAAAUAGAGAUCGCCAGAUAGCCAGACAAGAACCUCUUUAAUGCAUAGUCUAGUCAAGUUGACAAAAUGCAAAGCAAAGGGAAACUGUUAGAAGGAGAAAAACCUAAUAUGUAGAGGCAAAAUAACUCUGUAAUAAUAUAUCUUUCAUUAGCACCAAAAAAAAAAAAAAAAAGUCAGAAUACAGCCGGUAGUGGUGGCACAAUGUCUUUAAUCCCAGCAGUCAAGAAGCAGAGACAGGCAGAUCUCUGUGAGUUUGAGGGCAGCCUGGUCUACAGAAUAAGUUCCAGGACAGCCAGGGCUACACAGUGAAAUCUAUCUCUAAAAAAUCCAGAGACCUAAAAGAAAAUAAUUGUUAAUCAUGAUGAGAAAAGAGAUGUACACAAGUACACAAGCAAGUCAGUACAGAAAAGUAUUCUCUGUCUCUUUCUGUCUCUGUCUCUGUCUCUGUCUCCCUCCUUCCUUCCCUCCCUCCCUCCCUCCCUCCCUCUCUGUUCCAGGUCUCUUUAUGUAGUCCUGUAGUCCUGGCUGUCCUGGAACUCACUAUGGCUUCACUGUCACAGAUAUCCACUUGCCUCUACCACCUCAGUGCUGAUACUAAAGGAAAACUAUUCACAAAAGAAGAAAGAUGAUUCCAGGAGCCUUCUAGGCUUCCUGAGCCAUAUUGGGACUGCUGAGUCAUCAUGCCCUGUGAACGAAGUAACUACAGGUUAAUGUCCAAUAGUGAGAGACAGCUAUUGUGGGACUACAGCUGUUGAGGCAUUCAUCCUCAAAGAUCAAGUACCUACUGAGUUAUUGGGGUCUUCAUUUUUCUGGAUGUGAUUUAGCUAUUGUUUUUAUUUUAAGGCUGAAUAUAUCACAAACACACACACACACACACACACACACACACACACACACACACACACAAUAUGCUCAUCCCCUUGGUUCUGUUUCUCUUAAGAAUCCUGACUAAAAAGCAGAAUUAGUCAAACACAGAAUGUGAUCCCUUAAAAGACUGAUGUGUGCUGAAGAUCUUGGAGAUGUCAGCAUUAUUGAAUAUCUGCCAAGAAUGGCCAGCUAUAGGGAGUGGACAUAGCCCAAGAUAGAGGCUGUGUGUAUUUCAGGCAGGAAAACUGGAUAUAUAAUUACCUAAACCCUGUGGGGCUGAAUUAAUUCUAUCAUGUGCACCAGAUGCUAGACAUGGAGCUGCAGGAUUUGGUGUUUGCCCUGCUUUGGGUGUUUCAGUGCUGCUCUUCUUUAGUUUUAAUUCACUAUGUUCCCAUUCGUUUACUUUUGCAGUGGAAAUGGCCGUUCUGUUCCAGGUAAAGUUUGGAAGUAUAAAUUCACUGCUGAAUUCUAUCAAGCUUUUAAGGAAGAUAUACUACCAAAGAUUUUCAAAGUGCCCCACAAAAUAUAAAGGGAAGGAACAUGACCAAAUUCAUUUUAUGAAGCCAGAGUUAGCCUGAUACAAAAUUGGAUAAAUAAACUAUUUUUAAAAUGUUGCUUUUAGACAGGGUCUCUCUAUGUAGCCUUGGCUGUCCUGUAACUUGCUAUGUAGACCAUGCUGGCCUCAGGAUCACAGAGAUCUGCCUGCCCCUGUCUCCCGAGUUCUGGGAUAAAGGCAUGUGCUGCCACUCCCAGCUAAAAACACAAUUUAAAAAGAACUCUGUAGAGAAAUUUCCAUGAGCAUAGGUGGAAAUGUUCUUAGCAAAAUUUUUCAAAAAAAAAAAUCUAAGAACUCAGUAAGAUCAUACUUCACAAGCUAAUUGAUUUCAUCCCAUAGAUACAAGGUUGUCUCAACAUACAGAAACCACUAAGUAUAAUAUUAUGCUAUGCCAAUUGGCUUAGGGGCAGAGAUCACAUAACCUUCUCAAGGGAUACAAAUAAGAAAUUUAUUAAAGUAAAUUUGUUUUCUUAAUAAAUAUCUUGUCUAAAUAAUGACUAGAAAGAACAUGCCUCAACAUAAUAGAGGAUAUAUAUACAACAAACUUCUACCCAGCAUGUAUGAGAAAAACCAGAGCAUUUCCUCUCUAUGUUCUAAUUCAUUAGAAUGCUCCUUCUUAACUAGAAUGAUAAACCGAGGGAAGAUAUAAAAGGAAUACUACAGGAAAGGAAGGAGUUAAAUCCCCUAUUUGAAGAUGAGUUGUACAAUUUCACACUGAAAAUACAAACUUCACAAAAUCUUUCAAUGGCAUAAUCACUUUCAGUAAAGUUGUUAAGUUACAAAACCAGUAGAAGAAAUUCAGUAUCCAUUCUAUUUACCAAUAACAAUCUUACUACGAGUUUUGGGAAAAUAUAGCAUUUGCAAUAGCUUCAAAAAACCCUAGGAGUAAGCCCAACCAGUGAGGUAAAGGACUUCUAUGAUAUAAACACUUAUAAACCCUAAAGAAAGAAAUAGAGGAAUAUAUGAUGGAAAGAUCUUUCAAAUUCCUAGAUUAGCACAAUUAAUAUUCUGGAAAUGGCUCUACUAAGAAAAGUAAUCUACAGAUUCAAUUAAAUUCAAUCUCCAUCAAAAUUUUAAAGUCACUGUUCACAGAGCUAAAACAAUUUCAUAAAAUUGAGAUCUAAACAUAGAAGACUACAAAUAACAAUUAAAUCAUAAUCAGAAAGAACAUUGCAAGAAAUAUCAGAAUAACUGAUCUUGAACUACACUGUAAUAUUAAGAUGCAAUAGUGGCAGAAAAAAAUGACCUAUAGAGUACUAGAACAUAAUAGAAAAAAACAUAAAUUCGUAAGACUAUGGCCAUCUAAUUUUUUUGACAAAUAUGUCAAAAGCAUGACUUGACACAAAGACACAGCCUUAUGCAGCUAGAACCUUUCCUUUCUCACUUCCCUCAAGAAAGUAUAUUAUAUAUAUUAUAUAUAUACAUAUAUAAUAUAUAUAUAUCCUAAAUAACUUCGAAAGUGUCACAGUCUUUAAAAUUUCAGUAUCCUUAAAACAUUUACCAUUUCUUUAACAUUCAAAACCUCUUCAAAAUAUCCAAAGUCUGUCUAAAAUUUUAAAGUCUAUUAACUGUGGGCUCCUGUAAAAGCAGAGAACGAAGUUAAAUACUUAUUCCAAGAGGGAAGAACAAGAGUACUGUUACAGUUUGAACACAGCAAACUGAAAUUUUAAUGGUACAAAUAACCCAGAGUCCAAUGUUUCUGAUUCACUCACAAUCUUCUGGGUGUCACCAAAGGGCUUGGCAAAUCCAUUUCCAGCUCCAGGAUUAAUAGCAAACAUCCUUGGGGGUUGUGCCCAUUCUACUGGAAUUUAUAAAAUGCUGGAGUCCUUUUCAUGACUGAGCUGUGGCCUCCUGUAGGCUCUCUUCAAGGACUCCAGCUGUGCCAUACAAUGACAAGUGUUAGCUGCCCUCUAUGAUUACUAUACAACUUGAAAACCAGUACCAACCAAGCACUUACACUACCAGGUUUCAUGUCAGCAUGAAGCACAGCGUCUGCAUCUGAAACACAGCUUCCCUGUACUGACCCUGAGGAAUUACUCUCAAAUUUACAACCCUCAAUGAUUGUAACUUAAUUUCUCAGCUCAAGUUAAUCAGCACCAAUUGUCCAGUAGGAGCUCUGGUGUUGAUCUCUUGCUAAUCACAGUCAGCUCUUCAGCUCUGGCUCUCUGACACCAGAUACUUAAUUCAAAAACAUCACACAAAUUGUCUUUAAGUUACUCUUUAAACGUCCCUCUGAAACUUCACAAGCCAGGCCUCUAUCUACUGUCUGCAAUGCUUUCAACAGAACAGUCCAAUGAGCUCUGAGCAUUCAAUGGCUUUUUCAGUCCGAAGUUCAAAUACCACCACUUUCCUCUCUGAAGUAACAUGGUCAGGUCUGUCAUGACAAAAUCCCACAAAACUGGUAGCAAUUUCUGUUUUAGGGUUUCUAUUGCUGUGAUAAAACACCAUGACCAAGAAAAACUUGAGAAGGAGAGGAUUUAUUCCAUAUUAAAGCUUGUAGUAUAGUCAUCCAAGGGCAUUCAGGGAAGAAACUCAGGGCAGAAACCUAGAGGCAAGAACUGGAGCAGAGACUACCAUAGAGGAGUACUGCUUACUGGCUUGCCUCCCAUGGCUUGCUUGGGCUGCUUUCUUAAAAUACCCAGGACCACCAGCCUAUGUGUGGCUCCACCCUCAUUGAACUUGGCUCUCCCACAUCAAUUAUCAAUUAAGAAAAUAUCCUACAGUCUUGCCCAAGUCAAUCUAAUGGGGACAUUUUCUCAAUUGAGGUUCCUCUUUUUUCCCCAUAUGACUAUCUUGUGGUAACAUGAAACUAACCAGCACAAUCCAUAUCUCUCAAUUUAAAUAAAACUAAAUUCUAAAGAGAUAAAGGACUUCAGUUUAAAACUAGGAGUGUAGAAAUUACUAAAGAGAAACAUGCAAUGUACUUCAACAUAGAUAUAUAGGCAAGGUUUUAGACAGAACCCUAAUAACACAGAGACUAGCCUGAGAAUAAACAGAUAUGAUUACAUGAAAUUCAAAAGCUUCCUGAAUACAGUCAAGGAAAAUAUCAUCACAGUGAACAGAUUGCCUGUAGAAUGAGAGGAAACAUUUGCCAGCUAUACUUCAAGCAUGGGGUUAGUACCUAGAUUCUAGAACACCAAAAAUUGGACACCAAAUAAAUAAUACUGCCAGUCAAUGAAUGGAACAUUUUUUUGAAGGAAAAAAAAAAGAGCAAAUGGCCAAAAAAUUCAAAAUGCCAAUUCAGGAAUUACAAAUGAAAAUGGCUUUUGAAAUUCCAUGUCACCACAGUCAGAAUAGCAAUCACAAAGAAAAUGAAAACAAAUGCUGGUAAGGAUGAGGAGGAAGAGGAAACCCCAUUCACUGCUGGUUGGAGUGUAAACUGGUGCAGAAGUAUGGAAAUCAGUGUAGCAGAUUCUUAAAAGGCUAAAACUGGAACUAUAUAUGACCCAGGUAUAUCACCUAAAGAUAUGCCACACUAUAUAUACAUGCAUAUAUGUAUACAUUAUAUAUAGAUAUACCUGUAGCUCAAGAUCAUCUUCUAGUUAGUGUUAUGAUGUCUACCAACCUAUGAAUAGAUAAAGAAAAUAUGGUACAUAUAUUUAAUAGAAUUUUCUUCAGCCAUAAAGAAGAAUUAAAAUAGUUGUGCCUGGAACAAUUGUGAGACAAAACUGGUUCAGAAAGAAAAAUACCACAUGUUCUCUGUGUGCAGUCUAGCUUCUAGUGUUUGCAUAUGUGCAUCCUUGUGAGAAUACAUAUUGGCACAGGCCAUGAAACUUGAAAAGGAAAA